GGCUUACGAGUGGGGAUCUCCACCAUUUACAAGUAUUCAAACAGGAGGGGGUGGUGAUGACCCCCAGGGACUUUACCUACAUUUCAUUUGAUUUGUUUAUUGUCCCAUACAAGAAUAUAUAUGGUUUAGGGGUGGGGAUGUUGACCGUUUACAAGUUUUCAAACAAGAAGGGGUGGGGAUGUUGACCGUUUACAAGUUUUCAAACAAGAAGGGGUGGGGUCACCCCCUCGGGACUUCCCUUUUAUAUCAUUUCAUUUGUUUUAUUGUCCCCUACAAGAAUAAAUAUGGUUUAGGGGUGGGGAUCUGGACCGUUUACAAGAUAAUAGCACAUUCUCAAAUUGAACGGGGUGGGGGUGACCCCAAGGAACUUCCAUUUAAUUUCAUUUGAUUAGUUUUAUUGUCCCAUACAAGAAUAUAUAUGGUUAAGGGGUGGGGAUGUUGACCGUUUACAAGUUUUCAAACAAGAGGGAGUGGGGUGACCCCCUAGGGACUUCCCUUUUAUUUCAUUUCAUUUAUUUUAUUGUCCCCUACAAGAAUAUAUAUGGUUUAGGGGUGGGGAUCUGGACCGUUUACAAGAUAAUAGCACAUUUUCAAAUUGAAUGGGGUGGGGAGGACCCCCGGGGACUUCCCUUUAAUUUCAUUUGAUUUGUUUUAUCGUCCCAUUCAAGAAUAUAUGAGGUUUAGGGAUGGCUCACCUAGACAUAUUAGUCUAACAUUCUAUGAAACCCUAAGUUAAUCUGACCAGGGGUUUUGGAGAAACGCUGCGGACAAG
RNAcentral lists this long non-coding RNA (772 nucleotides) under Mytilus galloprovincialis (Mediterranean mussel). The record is from RNAcentral. Lineage: Eukaryota; Metazoa; Mollusca; Bivalvia; Mytilida; Mytilidae.